CUCCACAUGGGGAAUGAAUACACUUUAUUUAAAACUUCUUUCUGUGCAUCUGCUGCUUGUCAACUCAUGAUCUUCUGAUCCUUGAAGAUUUGACAACCCUGUGAUUUGCUGUAAUGGAAUUACUGAAAAGUUAUCAACAAAGACGUUGCAAUGUAAGAAUGCAACAUGUUCAGUUUACUUGGGCUCGGGGGAUUAAGCCUGCCCAGGCCUCCCUUGUAUUUGAAAUGUAUGAUAUUGAUAUCAGUGCUUAGAGAGAAUCAGGCCUCUGCAAUGAGCAGAUCAUGCCUGGCUCCAUAAAGUCUACAUUGCAUGGAGAGAUGUAUAGGCUAGGUGGAGAAGGGCCAAGUCAGGCCUUUGCUCUGGAAAGCAAGUAUUAGGUAAUG
This 383-nucleotide long non-coding RNA is filed under the name Homo sapiens (human). RNAcentral's name for it is "HSALNT0040753". Lineage: Eukaryota; Metazoa; Chordata; Mammalia; Primates; Hominidae. The record is from RNAcentral.